AGAACGAACGCUGGCGGCAUGCCUAACACAUGCAAGUCGAACGGGACCUUCGGGUCUAGUGGCGCACGGGUGCGUAACGCGUGGGGAUCUGCCCUUAGGUACGGAAUAACUCAGGGAAACUUGAGCUAAUACCGUAUAAUGACUUCGGUCCAAAGAUUUAUCGCCUAGGGAUGAACCCGCGUAGGAUUAGCUUGUUGGUGAGGUAAAGGCUCACCAAGGCGACGAUCCUUAGCUGGUCUGAGAGGAUGAUCAGCCACACUGGGACUGAGACACGGCCCAGACUCCUACGGGAGGCAGCAGUGGGGAAUAUUGGACAAUGGGCGAAAGCCUGAUCCAGCAAUGCCGCGUGAGUGAUGAAGGCCUUCGGGUCGUAAACCUCUUUUCUCAGGGAAGAUACAAGACGGUACCUGAGGAAUAAGCCACGGCUAACUACGUGCCAGCAGCCGC
Molecule: ribosomal RNA, 447 nt
Filed under: uncultured bacterium
Lineage: Bacteria
Description: SSU rRNA
Rfam family: Bacterial small subunit ribosomal RNA
Source: RNAcentral